Molecule: non-coding RNA, 31 nt
Filed under: Rattus norvegicus (Norway rat)
Lineage: Eukaryota; Metazoa; Chordata; Mammalia; Rodentia; Muridae
Source: RNAcentral
UAGAUGGAAACCACAGACUGGUUUUUGCAAG